AGACAUGUGACAAUGCAGCGACAUGUUUAUAUCCUUACGUGUCUUACUUCGCGGGAAUUGUGAUGUUUCUUCUUAUUGUGUACUUGACUAUUGUAUUUGGAAGAUGUGUAUGUGAUGAUUCAUAUUAAGUAAAAUGUAAUAAGUUUGAAAAACAACGAAUUUCUGCAACUGGGAACCAGACGAAAUAUUGCUAGCAUCCAUCUUUUAGUACAAUUGAUAUAUUUGAAUUACCGAUAUCAAUUUCACAUAUCAAUAUGGAGAACUCAUAGCGUUUGGAUCAAGUU
RNAcentral lists this long non-coding RNA (284 nucleotides) under Mytilus galloprovincialis (Mediterranean mussel). The record is from RNAcentral. Lineage: Eukaryota; Metazoa; Mollusca; Bivalvia; Mytilida; Mytilidae.